GGUGCUGUACCCAAGUGGAUUAAGGGGAAGGUCUGCAAAACCUUUAUUUCAGUGGUUCGAAUCCACUCUGCACCU
Aquimarina atlantica is the source of this 75-nucleotide transfer RNA. It matches the Rfam family "tRNA". From Rfam's summary of the family: Transfer RNA (tRNA) molecules are approximately 80 nucleotides in length. Their secondary structure includes four short double-helical elements and three loops (D, anti-codon, and T loops). Further hydrogen bonds mediate the characteristic L-shaped molecular structure. tRNAs have two regions of fundamental functional importance: the anti-codon, which is responsible for specific mRNA codon recognition, and the 3' end, to which the tRNAs corresponding amino acid is attached (by aminoacyl-tRNA synthetases). tRNAs cope with the degeneracy of the genetic code in two manners: having more than one tRNA (with a specific anti-codon) for a particular amino acid; and 'wobble' base-pairing, i.e. permitting non-standard base-pairing at the 3rd anti-codon position. The record is from Rfam. NCBI's taxonomy places the organism in Bacteria, Pseudomonadati, Bacteroidota, Flavobacteriia, Flavobacteriales, Flavobacteriaceae.